GCCUCGGCGGCGGCGGCGGGAUGGAGCUGCUUAUGAUCAUCACGGUGUCGGCCCUCGUCGGCUGCUUCCUCACUCUCCUCGCGCAGUUCCUCCUGAUCUAUCAGCGAAAGCCCCAGAAGCCGUUCUCGCCGUCCGCCUCCGACUGGGGGGUCUCCUACGUCACCCCGGCGCCGGGCCUUCUCCUCGGCGACUACCUCUAUGGCGCGUCGGGCCGGUCGCCGAAGCCCCCUGAGCGCGGCGGCGGCGGCGGGCUCCAGGUGGAGACGCGCUCCGUGGAGACCUGCUACUUCCUCAACGCGAUCAUGCUGUUCCUGUUCCGGGAGUUGCGGGACACGACCAUGGCCAGGCGCUGGAUCACCAAGAAGAUCCGGGUGGAGUUCGAGGAGCUGCUGCAGAGCAAGACGGCCGGCCGGCUGCUGGAGGGCUUGGGCCUGCGGGAGGUGUCGCUAGGCCAGGCCGUGCCCCUCAUCAAGAUGGUCCGCCUUCUGCAGCCCGUGGUGCCCUCGUUCGCCUCCGAGCCGGAGGGCGCCGACAGCGCGGAAGACCCCCCGGCCGCCAGCCCGGAGGAGCUCAUCUUCGAGGUGGACGUGGAGUACAACGGCGGCUUCCACCUGGCCAUCGACGUGGACCUGGUCUUCGGCAAGUCCGCCUUCCUGUUCGUCAAGCUGUCGCACAUGUCCGGGAGGCUGCGGCUCGUCUUCACCCGUUUGCCCUUCACCCACUGGGCCUUCUCGUUCGUGGAGGACCCGGUGAUGGACUUAGAGGUGCAGUCCCAGUUCGAAGGCCACCCCAUGCCGCAGCUCACCUCCAUCAUCGUCAACCAGCUCAAGAAGAUCCUGAAGCGCAAGCACACCCUGCCCAACUAUAAGAUCAGAUUCAAGCCGUUUUUCUCAUUUCAACUUUCACAAACUUCAAAGGAGGAAGAUGAACAAUAUUUGUAUAUACAACAAUAUGGACUUACAGAAGGCCGCCUUAAAAUUACUCUAGUAGAAUGUAGCAGGUUAUUGAUUUUGGGAUCCUAUGAAAGAGAAACAAAUGUUCAUUGCACGAUGGAGUUGAGCAGUGGUGUUUGGGAAGAAAAACAAAGGAGUUCUGUUAAGACGACCUCUUCCCCUGAUGUUAUACUUAGUAACACUGAGCCAGUGACAUAUUAUGGAAAAGGCAGCUGGGCUGAGUUAGUAAAAGGAAACUUACAAAGUGUUGGACUUACACUUCGCCUGGUUCAGUCAUCUGAUGGAUAUGGUGGACACGUCGUAAUUGAGACCGUGGCCCCAAAUUCCCCAGCUGCACUUGCAGAUCUUCAGCGGGGGGACAGACUUAUAGCCAUUGGAGGAGUUAAAAUCACAUCUACAAUCCAAGUGUUAAAGCUCAUCAAGCAAGCAGGUGACAGAGUGAUGGUGUAUUAUGAAAGGCCUGUUGGUCAGAGUAAUCAAGGGCCAAUGCUACAGGAUAGUUUUACACAAUUGGAAGAUAGUGCUUUUCUGGCAAACACAAGUCAAACGAAUUUUGAAGAGGACAUAACUGGCCUUUUAGUGGAUAUUGAUAACAAAGAUAUAGAUUUAGAAUUUGAAGAUUUGGCAUGUGAUAUCAAGGUACAAAAUGAGUCCAGAGAUGAGAUUCCAUCACUGAGUCAGAGUCCCAAACGCAAUUCAAUACAAAAUCUUAAGCCUUAUGGACCUGCCUCACCACUCUUAAAUCGUAAAUCAGCAAGUUACGUGUCACCACGAAAUUCUGUAAACAAAGAUUCAGCCAAAGCAGUGACAACUAAGGUUGCCGAAGUUUCAGACCAAGGACAACAGUUAACAAAAACAUCCCAAACAAAUCUUUUGAAGCCACCUGUGCCACCAAGGCCACAAAUGAAAUCUGUUCCACCAUCUACUGAUACUCAAAGCCAGGCAGAAACUGAUACAACUGUUGAAAAAACAGAGAAAUCAGUUUCUCUUCCUCAAACAGAAAAACCCUCAGAAAAGUUAGUAACAAAUGUUAAUCAGACAGAAGAUGCAUCUAUGUCAAAGCCAAAUGUGGCAAAGCAGGAUGUGGCAAAAGACUUAAUUUCAGAAAGUGCUAAUAAGGACAGUGCAGAUGACCAAACAUGGGAAUCAGCAGAAAUUCCUUAUAAUCAUAGAGUAGGUAAAUGGACAAGAGUGAAGGGAACUUGUAUAUUUAACAUAGAAGGCUCUCAUAGGUACCUGAAUAUUGCAUUGUGGUGCAGAGAUCCUUUCAAGGUGGGUAGUCUUAUCUGCUUAGGGCAUAUUAGUAUAAAACUUGAAGAGAUUGCUUUAGGAUGUUUAGCUACUUCAAACUUAGAAUAUCUCACAAAAUUCAGAUUAAAUGCUCCAAAACCUAAAGCUAUGGUUACUAGAACUGCAUUGCGAAAUAUCAGUAUGCAAAAGGGGUUCAAUGAAAAAUAUUGCUUUGGUGAUAUUACCAUACAUUUCAAGUAUUUGAAGGAAGGAGAACAAGAACAAUACAUGAAUCUUAUGGAGAAAGAAAAAGAAAACACUGUGAUAGAGGACAUCCCUCCCCCUAGUAAAGAUGAGUAUUUUGUUGGACAGAUGAAUUUGACAGAAAAUAAACAUAGUUUCCAAGACACUCAAUUUCAGAAUCCAACAUGGUGUGAUUACUGUAAGAAGAAAGUUUGGACUAAGGCCGCUUCCCAGUGCAUGUUUUGUGCUUAUGUUUGCCACAAAAAAUGUCAAGAAAAAUGCUUUGCUGAAACACCACUUUGUGUAGGACCUGAAAAGCCAGUGGACCGAAUCUUGAAAAACUUACGGAUAGAAGCACAAGAAAAUAUUCUAGGAAUGCCUUCUAACAAAUCAGGUGGUAAAAGUACAGGUAUAACAAGACAUUUAUGGAACACUAGCUCUCGGAUCUUAAACUUGCGUCAAGGCCCUAGAAGAAGCCAAGCUGAACAGAUUGCUGAAUUGGCAGAACCCUCACCCAAGCCAACACCAAACACUUCUGAUAAUGAAGGCAGUGAUUCAGAAGCUUGUGUUCCAAGUCCUUCCAGGCGGCGAAACAUUGCAGGAAUCAAAUUGGCAAGGAGAGAAGGAGGACUAGAUGACAGUGUCUUCAUUGCAGUUAAAGAAAUUGGUCGUGACCUUUAUAGGGGUUUGCCUAAUGAGGAAAGAUUCCAGAAGCUAGAAUUCAUGUUAGAUAAACUGCAGAAUGAAAUUGAUCAGGAGCUGGAACACAACAAUUCAAUUGCCAGGGAAGAGAAAGAGGCAACUGAUUCAAAGAAAAAAACACUCCUUUCGACCGCUUUGACUAAAUCAGGUGAAAGACUACAAGCUCUAACACUUCUUAUGAUACACUACAGAGCAGGUGUUGAAGAUCUAGAACUAGAAACUCUAUCUUUAUUUCAAACCAAAAAAGUGACUACAGAAGAUACAGAAGAAGACCUCGAUAAUGAAAUAUGCGAACUAAUGGAGGCUCAACCUUUUGACAGUCUAUCAGAGGAAAUAUUUGACCAACCUGAACCUCUGUAGCAAACUGCCUAUUUAACCUUCUAAAUAAUUGCAGGAAAAAAAUUAUACUUACUAAAAUACAUCAGAUACACCCCCAUUUAAACCCCCUUAUAAUAUGUAUGGCCUGCUUCUCCACAUUUAUUUGCCCAUCUUAAGAGAAAAAAAAAAAGGAAAAAGAAAAAAAAAAGUUGCUUUUUUUUUUCCAGCAGAAAGUAUGAUCAUUUGACUUGGCUAAUUUGGUUGAUUUGGAUUGUAUUAUAACAUGCUUUUGGGGUUAAUACUGAGAAUUUCUUUUUACUAAUUUAUUUUUAAUUUCUUUCUAUUAUGGAAACUAACAUUUCAUGUUGAUGUUUUCCUUUUUGCUUUUGAAUCAGUGUUAAAUAGUAUUAUACUGUCAACAUUCUUAAAAUGUUUUAAUUGACAUCAUGGUGAUAGUUAUGAACUUUGCUGCAUGCCCAAACUAACAAUACAGCAAUCAUUGAGGGAACAGGUUUUGAAAUUUUUGAUCAUGUUGCAUUGAUUUUUGUCUCAAAUUGGUUGUAGGAUGUUUUCUUGGCAGGGGUGGUUAGGGGAGCAAUGGGUUAUAUUUGUUGGAAGUGGAUUUGGAUUGGGGUUUUUUGGGGGGGAGGAGGGUAGCCAAUAAUUACAUGAAAGCAAGUACUGUGGCUUUUAUUUUGUCUAUGAUGGUUUAGUAAAAAUGUUAUUAUAUAUGAUGAUCUUGCUUUCUAUGCUUUUGUUUAAAAAAUGUUCAUUUCAAAAUUGCUCAGUUGAAUUCUUUAAGUGUUAAGACCCAGUUCAAUGUUUUUUUUGAAGAGCUUGCACUGUUGAAAUACAGAAAGCAACAGGUGGUACAGUUUGCUGUAUUGAGUCAAGAAGUUCUAGCUAGACCACUUAACAUAUUUUUGCCUGUAAAUUUAAGAAUUUUAAAAUUAUGAAAAAUAUAACCAGUAUAGAUCCUUGGUACUUAACGUUUCAAGAUGUUGAUGCUUUACCUUUAACAGAUUGGUGUAUCUGCUAAAAAAGCACUUAUAAUUCUAAACAUUUAGACACUUAAAAAUACUUAUCCUGCAGAAAUAUGUGAAAGGAUAUCAAAUUUCAGAAGACUGUAAAGCAGUUGGGUUGGUAAUUGUGUUUUGUUUUAGAAACAGAUUUGUGUUGAUAGGAAGAGCAUUGUAUAAAAAUAUGUUUGAUUUAUUGUUUGUCUCCCUUAUUACAAAAUUGCUUUUAGACCAGUGGAAUGGGUAUUUUCAUUUAGAAUGAAUGAAAACUUUUAGGUAAUAUAGACAGAUAAAAAGGGGGCCUCUUUUCUAAAAACAUAAAUCUGAGAUGAUCCUGGGUUAAGAUUAUCCAUUCUUACUAUCAUGUAAUUAAUGAGAGAUGUAUUAUAUAUUCUCUCUCUCUUUCUCUCUUCCUUUUCCUUCCUGCCUUUCCCUUUCUUUCUCUUAAAAUAUUUUGAAUAUUUUAGCUUUUUGCAUACCAAGAAAUCAUAUGCAUAUUUUAUUUCUUGUCAAUAGGUACUUUACAAAAGAAUUGGUUUUUAGGGCAUAAUGAAAAUUAAACCAAGUAUAAAGCAGGUUAAUAAUUUACAAAUAAUUUAUUUACGAUAGCUUAAGUAUGGAGGAAAUUGACAUGACCUAAUGAAAAAACACUGGCUGAGGAGUUGAAAUCUGAGUUUUAGUCCAAUUAUUUCAACUAAUAAGUUCUGUGACCUUAAGCAAGUCACAUAACCUUUCUGUGCCUCAAUUUUCCCAUCUGUAAAAUGGGUUUAUAAAACCCAUCUACCUCACAGGAUUGUUGUGAGGGAAAUUUUGUGUUAGAAGAAUAUUUAAAAGUAAAGUAUACAAAUGCAAGAUGGUUAUUGUUAUUAACUUAAUAAAGCAGCAAUCUGGGGGAGGGAAAAGAAUAAACAAAUUUAUAGACUGCUACUUUGCUCUCACAGUGAACAAUUGCUAUCAUUCACGAAACUUUUAAUAAUUGCAAGGUAUUUAGGGCAUGAAAUUCUUUGUUAGCCAAUUGUAUGGAAAAGAUAUCCCAAUUUUUUUAAAGUCCUGUUUUGUUCUUUAAAAAAAGAAAAAACCUACUGCAGAAACAGAUUUCCUUAAAAGGUCACAUAUACAUACCAUAAAUUACUCAGUAAUUCAUUUAAAAUGAAAUUUUGUCCUAUAUAAUUAGCAAGUUUGGGGCUUAUAUAGUUUUAAAGCACUGAUAACCAAGAAAUUUGUGGGCCUUUUUAGUGACUAUGAUUAUAGUAAUACUGUUGCAGUUUUAAAUUACAUCCAAAAGCUUCAUCAGAUCUCUGCCUGCUUUAAGAGGCUCUAGGAAUAACCUGAAAAUCUAUUCAGGUUUUGAAAGUAUUUAAUCAUUUAGAAUGAUGACUAUGGAAAACCUAAAUAAAACCUUAUUUAUAUACUGCUGCUUAUGAUAGGUGUAAGAUACAGAUUUAAUAUAGUUGAAUUUUUUUUUAUAUACACUGCUUAAAGGGGACUGUUGUUAUAUAUAGAAAAGAAGAGGGCAAAGCAACAAUCCAAUUAAUCUAACAUAUAAUACAAGGCUCCAGAGGGAAAACUUAUACUAUAUUACAUUACUGAUGUAUAAUCUUUGCUGCUGUGCUAUGUUAUCUAUAGCUAAAAAUAAUAAUAAUAAAGACUACCACAGAAAACAAGAAUAUAUUAAUUUUUGUGACAUCUAGAGAGUUGGUAGGUGUUACAUAUUUCAGAGAUCGCUUCUUACUAGAAUUUUAUCAUGAAAACAACAUUUAUUUCUUUAAAUAAAGCUAUCAUUUUUAAACUGUUUAAAAGGUUUUUUUAAUAUGUACAAUAUAUAACUAUCUAAAUGUGGAAAUACUGGAGGAUUUAUGUAUACCUCCACUAUAUACAAGUGAGGAGAAUAUUUAGCUUAAUUUUUCUAAGGUAUUAUUUAAUCCAAGUGACUGAAAUUUUAACUACAUUUUCAGAUAAGUCACAUGAUCUUUGGAUUCAAAGCUUUUUAAAUUUAAUUGUUAAUUUGCUUGACUUUCAAAUACUAAUGUUGCAUAGUAUUUAUAUUCCUUAACUCUACUUGAGGUGUGUAGAUAGGUUCCUGUGGUUCCAAGACAAAAACAUUUUACACCAGAGGAGGGACUCCUAAGUACUGGAUAUUUGGCCACAAAUAGUCUGGAUUUUAUUUUUUUCCUUUCUGUUCUGAAUGUUAGUAUCUAAAGAAUUUAUCCAAAAGAUCUCAAAAGCUUUGCAUUAUUCUUCCUAGCCCUAGUCUUCAUUUUUAAUGUUAUCAUGUCAUGAUAAUCAUAAGAAAUGUCCUAUUCUGAAUUAAAACCUAUUGCCAUCUCCCCCUUAGAUUAGCAUUCCCUUUUAUUAAAAUAUAUAAUCACAAAAUCAUCUAGCAACUAAUAAAUGUUGACUGAUCUUUUUGUACCAGUUCUGUAUUGACAACAAUCCUUCAAUAUGGUCAUUCAGAUGAGUAACUGAACUUUGUCUCAACUUUUGCCUUUAUUGUGCUGCUUAUUAACUAGAUCAAAUUUUAAUGAUAAGACUGUAAAAACCUAAAAUAAUGAAGUAAACCAAAAACACCCACAUGCAAGAGAGAUCCCAGAAGGAAAUGUGUGUCCAAGAUGAAAUUACUCAUUUAAAAAAAUCUACCAUUGUUUCAGUAUCCAAAACAAAUGCAAACAAGCAUGAUAUGGAAUUCAGAGCCCAUUUAUUUCUUGUUGAAUGAAACAUGAAUUUCACAUGUAUACUUGUUCCCUCAAAAGACACAUGCACUGCUGCCUCAGUGUAAGCUUCUUGUACUUUGGUUAACACAAUUUUUUAAUUAGUUACAGUCAUGAUAGCUACUUUUGUUCCAAAUAUAGUCAGAGAGAGAGAAAUAUUUUGCUUAUCCAUGUUAUGAUGCUUAAAUGUGUAUUUGGUGCAUUUUUUGUUUUGAUAAACAAUUCGAAUCAUAGGGGUAAAUUUUAGGUCUUAACCUGAAAUAGAAUUAUUUUAAAUUAACUAGAUUCUUUUGCUUUCUUAGUUGAAAAUUUUCAUACUCCUCAAAUGACCAUCUUCUGUUCCCAAAAGUCCUGUUGUCUAGUUUUGUUAAGAAAAGUAUCAUUCCUUGUCUUUGUGCUGCUUUUUACGUAAUCUAUGAAAGUUUAUAGGGUUUUUUGACCCAUUCUUGUUUAUAGCCAUUUACACAUGUACAGUUUAUGAUGACCUUUUGUUUUAGCCCUAGCCAAGCUUUGCCAGGGCUAUCUUAUACAAUAUCAGAAAUGACAUGGAUAGCCUUUUGGCAGUGCAUACUCGGAUUGAAACUGAACUUUUAAUUUAGGGAACCACCUUUAUAAGAUCUCCAUAAGAAAUAUGGCAAUGUGUGUAAUUGCCCAUCUACAGAAUGAGAAAUGAUGAGAUCAGACAAGUUUUUCUUUUUAACUGCUUGCCCUUUGAUCUAUCUAUAACAUGGAGUUUUAUAGCAACCAGUAAUUUAAGAUUUGGAUAUUUUUGUUUGUUUUUAUAAUCCCAAAACUAAAAUUUCCCACCACCCUCAUUUCAGGUGUAUACCACAACAUUGUUAUACGGUAUUCUAAAUACAUUUUGCACAUUUUACAAAACCAUAUGUAAACAAGUCUCCACUGCUACACAAAAUAUGCUGUUACUUUGAAAAAAAGGCACAUAAUUCACACAUGAAAUUCCACAUUACACUACAUGAAAUGAAUGUCAUUACUUGUUGAAUCUUAUUAGACAGCUUGGUUUUGUUUCUUACAAUUGUGUAAAUGGAUAUAUGACUAGAAUCUAAUCUGCACCUAAUUGUGCUUGAUUCAUUACAAUGGAGUUUUGGACAUAGAUCAUUUCUAUUUUUAUUUCACUUUCAUUUUAAAUUACUGUGGUUUCCCCCAAAAAACAAAUCAGUUAUGUAAACAUAUUUGUGUAUAUAAAAAAUAGGAAAGUUAUAAGCAACCCAAAAUUUAAACAUCCUACUGCUACAAGACUGUUAUUCUAAAGAGAUUGAAGAUAUCUGAGAUUUUGGCUAGUUUUGAUGUUUUGUUUUGUUUUGUUUUAAGCAAAUAUUUACCAUUCCAAGGUGGUUUUUUGUUUGCUUGUUUGUUUAGUAUUUUGGACUAAAAAUUCAUCUGUCAGUGCAUGGAUGAACAAUCUGAACUGUGUGAAGUUGAGUACGUACAUAACAAUACCCUCCAUGAAGUCUUUAUCCAACAAAAGCUCAGUAAGCAUUAACAGAAGUUUUUAAAUGCCAGUGUAUGUUUGCUGAUUUUUUCUUUGCCUCUCUAACAGAAUUUCUUUUGAGUCUUAUGAUUACCAUCAAAAUCUUACUGAAUAAAAACUUUACCUUAAUACCUUUUUCUCCAAAUGCUAGUUACAUGAGAAAGUAAUGCCAAUGUCACUUCACAUAUAUGCCCAAAAAGUGAUUCACAAGUUCUGGUAACAACCUUAGCUUCAAAAAUGACAACACAAAGAAUUUUCAUUUUAUUUUCCCCAACCAGUUUUUAACUUGUAUGUAUAUAUUACAAGUUCAAGUACAAUUCAGCACUAUCAUUCAGGUAUCUUUUUGGAAUAAUUGUGGAUUAGUUCUAUUCUUUGGCCAUUGAAUAAUUUUUGCAACUAGAUAAUGUGCCAUAUGUUCACACAUUAUCAGUAAUGGUUCAGAAAAAAUAGAGAGUUUUUUGCUAAGUGUUCAGGAAUGUAAGUUUAGAAAAUUAGACUUGAAUCAACUUUACAGAUUUACACUACAGCUUAAUAAAAAUAUAUUGUGUAAUAUUUAAUAAAAUUAAAUACAUAAAAUAAACUUCUCAACAUUAUACAAACCCCUAGAAAAGCUUUUUCUUUAUAAGGCUGUUAGCAAUCUUUCAUAACAUUGGGAGGGAAAUGUAUUUAACCUUUGGUUUCUUAACUACAUCAUUAGCAUACAGUACAACUAAAAAAAUUUUUUUCAUGAGCUGUUUCACAGGAAACACUGCAUUGUUAUACCACAGAAUAUUUAUGGCUUUUGAAGUUGUCAGUCACUUUCAGAUUCUUCAUCAUCCACUGUAGGAUAUGACUGAAUGUUGUUCUGUGUGUACAUUUUUGUUUUUAUUGGGCAGUUAUGAUCCAUGAGUAUUGCCUAAAAAAAGUAUGUACCGUUAAUUUUGGGGGUUACGUUGUUCUAUAGACCACAGUUUUUACUAUUUUAAUUAUGAUUUUUAGAAGUACUUCACGUUUGCAAAUUAUUUUUAGUAACCAGUAAAUGCUCAAAUCAAGGAUGUGUCCUAAAUAAUAGCAUUUAUUUAGACUUUUAAGGUUGUAGUGCACCAAUAUUAACUCAGUUGUUCCUCAUGAUAAUCUGUGAGGUUACAUGAUAUCCCCAUUUUACUAAAAAGGAAACUAAUGCUUUAGCCAGUCAUAACACUUUAAUAAGUGGGUGAGACAGGAUUCAAACUUGUCUUACUUACCCCUAGUCUAGUGCUCUAACAAGUGAAAGUAGUUCAAAGACUACACAAGUUUCUUGAGCCAAAAAAAGCUUUUCAUAUGACUUACUCAUCAAAAUGAGAGUUGAUGGUCAACAACUCAAAACAGUGUAAAAUAUUAGGAAUAUGAGUUAAGAUAAAUAGAUAUUGUGUUAUACUUAGAAUGGUAGAACUAGAGCAACUAGGUGAUGGAGUUGGUAGAUUCAUUUUGAAUUCAAUUUGGGCCUCAGACACCAGCUAUGUGACCCUGAACAAGUCUCAUCCCUGUUUGCUUAAAUCACUGGAGAAGAAAAUGAUAAACCUCUCCAGUAUCUUUGUCAAAAAAAAAAAAAAAAAAAAAAAAAAACCCAAAAAUCCAAUUAUUAUGAAGAGUCAGAAAUGACUGAACAGCCAUCAUGAAAUGUGAAAUCUUGGAGGAAACCAAAGUCCAAAAAGGGCAGUAAUUUGCUUCUUUAAAUACAGAUUGAAUGUUAGCAGCAAGAUAAACUUGUGGUUUUGUAAGUCCAGCAUGGCAUAGUAAUUUUGGUGCUGGUCUUCAAGUUAGAUCUUAGAUUGCAUACUGCCUCAAACAAUCAUUCAUGAACAAGUCAUUCAUCUAAUUAGCUUCAGUUUACUUCUCUGUAAAAUGGGAAUAAUAGUAACUUUCACAGGGUCACUGUGAGGAUCAAAUGAGAAUACAAUUAAAGCAUUUCACAUAGUGUGACACAGGAAGUGCUUAAUGACAACCCAGAAAUUUCUGGAGGCUAGUACUUUCCAUCACACUGCCAGUUUCCAUCUGCAGAUGACUAACCUGCAUAUUCACCUACCAUAUAUUGGUGCCAUUACCAUUUUUAUUUUUCAUCCCCACCUGUGAUUUCCUUAAUGCUAGCUACUAGUGGUAUGGAAACUUUCCCUACCAAGCAAUUAAUCUGUAACUUAGCUGUAAGAAGUUAUCCAGAGGAACUGAGAGGCUCUUGGUCACACAAAUUGCAUUUGCCAGGCAGAGCUUGAGUCCAGGUCUUUCUGAAUCCAGAAAGCCAGGGCUCGCUCUGCUAUAUCCCAUUUUCUCUGGGAGGGCCAAUGCCAUAUUUCAUUUUUUUAAAAUAGAUUUUUGGAGGCGGAGGACAAGAAUAACAUCAAAGAGGGAAGGGGAGAAAUGGCAUUAGUGUUCCCAGAAAGCCCUUUUCAAUUUAAUCUGUCAAAAAUCUAAAUAAAUGAUUAGCAAGAUGAGUCAUUAAAGACUUGAGGUGUGCUUCUUAUUGCCCAUAAUUGAGUCUAGCAUAAUGGCUUUGGGUCUGCAAUCAACAGCUGCUAACUUGAAUUUCGACAGGAAGGGAUGGAGUAGAGAAUGACAGGAAAUAAUGAUCUUGGGUAAUGAGGGGGAGACAGCAGUGUCACAGAAAAAUUGAUUAUUAAACACUUGAAAAAAUCCAAUGUCAAGUUUAGAAGUUCAGGUUUAAAAUGAAUAGCUACAAAAUCUAAGAAGGAAUACAGGAAGAAUUGCUACCAUGCACAUAGUGCCUUAAUGUUUGUUUAUGGUAGCUAGCAGUGUGGUAGAAGGCACUAGCCUCCGUUCCUGAGUUCUUGUUAUUAAACAUUAAGUACUUUGUAUGUGUCAGACGUUGUGUUACGCGCAUAAAGAUCUUUCCCUGCAAAACAAAACACAAAAAACUUAUCCAUGCCCUCAAAGUCUUGAGAGGGAACAACAUGAAUUUAGAUAAUAUAAACUUGGAAACCACUUCCAGGUCUUUCCUUUUUUACUUUCAGAACAAGUCUACUUAUUCAGCUUUACCUGCUAAGAAGUAGUUGGUUGUUUUUUCCUUUAUAUGGAGCUGAAAAUUCUACUUUUCAUUCAGUGUUCCUAUUAUUGAGGUCUAAAUGACAGUCUUGUGGGAUACAAGUGAUUGAAUAAUUGGGAACCGUUCUGGUAAGAUACAACAUUAAAAUGAGAUUUUCCUUGGAACUUUCAGCUUUUGGGUCCUACAUGAAGGCCAGAAACAUGUUAUGGAAGUUUCCAUUCUAAAGGAAAUGGAAUGUGUUUUACAUUUGAGUCAAAAGAUUGCAGUGGAGAACUGCAUCUUAGAAUCAUUAUUCAAGUUUGUCCUUUUAUUUUUCAGAUGAAGAAAAAAAUGAUGUAGAAAGGGGAUAUGGCUUGCCCAUAGUCACCAAAGCUGGAAAUAAGUAUAAUCCAGUAGAAAGAACAUUGGACUAUGUGGUCAUGUCAAUCUCUGUAUAUGAAUUAUAAAAAUAAAAAUAUAGCACUCGCACUUACCUCAAAGCUUUUUUGAGAAAAGCUCUUUGUUACAAAGAGCUAAGUAACAGACUUAAAACUAGCACCCAGUUCUCACAAUUCCUGUAGCAUUCCUUCCAUUAUAGUUUCAUGCUAACAAUCAGAAAGUAUUUUAUCACAUUCUAAUAGAAAUUUCUUACCAUUUUUUCUUCCUUGGCAGGUGGGCUUCGAAGGAAAAAGCAGAGGGGGGCAAAGAGAAUGUCAAUGAUCCCAAUAAUUGUCAUGAGCCAAGGGAACCCAAUUGCUUUUGCAAUGGCCCCACCAACAGAAGGACCUUUUGGGAAAUAAAAAAUUAGAGAGCUCCCUAAAAAUGUUGUACUCAAUGAGAAGUACAAUUUUUAAAGUUAUAAAACUAUUAAAUAAUUAAGUCCAUCUUAAGUACUUAGGACAAAGGUAUAUCCUUACCCAAUGCAAAGCCCAUGCAAAAGGCAACAUCUGCAAUGGCGUAUACACUCCCAUAGACAGAGACAUGGCGUAAGUCUACCAGGUAGCCCAUGAUGGGCAUCAUUGAGGAAUCCACCAUUCCUGCCGAUAAUUCAAAGGAAUAUAUUAUACAGAGCAUCUUCUCUCUGGGAUUUUAACCUCAGGAGGCAGCUAAUUGAGGCAGUAGAGCCUUGGGCCUAGAGCUUGGAAGACCUGUGAUCCUGGAUAACUAAGACAUCUUUGUAGUCCUAUUUCUCUUGAUCUGUAAAAUGCAUUUGAUAAGAUUACCCAUUUCGAAAGAUUUUCAUAAGCAUCAAAUGAGAAUAAUGUCUUGCAAUAGUGCUUUGGAGAGCUUAAAACUCUUAUGUUAGCUAUUAUUCUUUGAUUUGUUCUCUUUCCCCAUUUCUCUCAUUGUCUCUGAUGUUGAAUGAAUUUUUCAGAUAGUUCUCCUCGUUCUUCAGUUUCCUUCAUUUCUGAAUCUCAUUUUGUGCACAUAUCCUGCUUACCUAGUUUCAGCUCUGUAAGGGGUUCCCUCAACUUUGUCCCGUCCUCACCCUUGUGUGGCACUUAGAAUAUAUGAUAGAUGCCAUAUUGAGAGUAAUGAAUUUUCAUGUCACUCCUAUAGAAAAAAACUACAAUAUAGUCCAAGUCUUUUUGCUCUUGUCCCAAGAUUUUUUUCUGUGCACUUGUCAUGAAUGUUCUAUAUGAUUAUGCCCACAGAGUAUAAAAUUCUUCCAGAUUAUUGGUGUCAUAAAUUGCCUAUUUCAGUUAAUAUUAAUUUUGUAAUGUUAAUGCUACAAAAUUGGAUGCCUUUGGCCACGAAGGUACUCAUUGACUAGGCCCUCUAUGAGGUAAUACUGUUUUUAGUUCUAAGUCUUGCCAUAAAACAUUUUUGCAAUUUGAUACUUGGAGUAAUAAGUAAGCUUGUUCAUAGAUAUGGAGUGUACACAUGAUCUGUGGAGGAUAGUAGCCUGUUUACCUAGAGUCAACAGUAGAGUCAGUUGCCUUCUGUAAAUAUCAGCCUUUGGCAAAAAUUGGUUUUCACAAAGAAAAUAGCUAAAAUCUGGAAGUAGGUCCUUUUAAUAUGGGUAAACUACACAUUAUAUUUGAGCCUUAAGCUGCUGCUCAUCUAAUCUUUUGCUUCUAUAAUGUUUCAGGCUGCUAUCAGAGAACAAAUAUUUCUAAGCACAGGUAACCAGUAAAUGUCAUAUUUCAGCGCAAAGUUUAUGUGACUUACCGAUUGCAAAACCAACUCCAAAAUUUGGUGCGAUCAGUCCAUAAAUGUUUUUUGCAAAUGGUACCUCCAAAAAAAAAAUUUGGUUAUAUUUUUUUAAAUCAUCCAGUUUCAUUUUAUGCCAUUAUGCUUAUUUUAGUGAGCUAUUGCCAUUUCUUUUGAAAUUUGAUAUGCUUAUUUACUUAUAAGGCAAAUAUGAAAGAAUAAGAAUCCUAAUACUGAUCUGAAUAUUAGUCAUAUAGCUUACCUUCCUCAUUUUACAGAUGAGUCUAUUAAAAUCCAUUCAGGUGAAAUUACUUGCCCAAGAUCACAUAGUUAUCAAAUUCUUAAUCAUAGCAGUUGAGAGCUAGAAAGGGUCUUGUAAAUAAGCUAUACUUUUCAGCUGUUUAAAUAUAGAAAGCAAGAUUAAAAAGACCAACUUAAUUCUAGUUUUCUAGAGCACUUAAAUUUUGUGUUAGUAAUAUUGGUAACUAUUUUAUCAUACAGAGGGAGGAUUAGCUUAAUAUUAUACUUUCCCAGAAAAAGUAUCACUCACAGUCAAUAAAUAUUUAUUAAACAUCUAAGUGCCAGACAGUAAACUGGCCCCUGGCACAAAAACAAUUCCUAACCUAAAGGACCUUACAUUCUAUUUAGGUAGGCAGUAUGAUUAUGUGAUAAUAUAGAAUAUUAAGUUUUUCAUCUCUAUGGCAACACAGGCAUUACACUUAGGAAAUAAAUACAAAGUAGAUUUGGGAGGAAGUUGCUCUAACAGCUGGGGCAAUGGUGGAGUCAAGGUUUUCAUGUGGAAGAAAGUGAUUAAGCUGAGUGUCAAAGAAGAUGGGAGUCUAGAGGACAAAAUUGAAGAAAAGUGUGUUUCUAUCCAUAGGGGAUGGUAAGAUCAAAGGUCUACUAGAGGAAGUAAGUUUUACACAGGUCAAAAUGGGCAGUCCUGGAUUAUCGAGAUCUGAGAACUCAGAGCAAAAUGUCUGGCUCUGUAUAUGUUAGUUACAGAAAUAUUAAUGGGAACCCGUGUCAUUUGGAAAACUUCAGGAUAAUACUUUUUUCUUUGGGAGGAGAAAAGACAUUAGUUAUCCUGCUCUGGAGUCUUGCAUUUUGACUACUGAGGACUUCAAAGACUUUAUUAAAAACACUGCAUUAGUCAACUCUCACCCUGAUUUUCUUCCAAUGAAUUUGCCCAUGGGCACUGAUGUCUACCCAUUUUUGCCUCUGAUAAUGCUUCCUUAAAGAUAAGGUCUCUCUACAUCCAUUCUGAUAUUGAUUUAUGUGCCCCACAAAAAAAAAUAAACGAUUUGACAAUUGCUCAAAGACAAUAAAAAUUUUAAAUGUAUAACCUAAAAUUCCUGGUGUGCUGACCAAAAUCAAAUUACUAUAACUUUGUCUUUCCUUGCUAGGGCUUUAUAACCACACAUAUAAAUGAAGUUUGCCAUUUCAAGUUAGUUCAACACAUAAUUCUUGAACUUUAUAUGUGUCUCCACUGUAUUAGACAUGAGGAAUAAAAAGACAAUUAAAAUUCCCUGUUCUCAAGGA
Molecule: RNA transcript, 15353 nt
Organism: Sarcophilus harrisii (Tasmanian devil)
Lineage: Eukaryota; Metazoa; Chordata; Mammalia; Dasyuromorphia; Dasyuridae
Gene: PDZD8
Gene name: PDZ domain containing 8
Exons: 7
Source: RefSeq, a predicted model, not a curated record